ACGGGAGGCAGCAGUGGGGAAUAUUGGGCAAUGGGCGCAAGCCUGACCCAGCAACGCCGCGUGAAGGAAGAAGGCUUUCGGGUUGUAAACUUCUUUUAGCAGGGACGAAGGACGUGACGGUACCUGCAGAAAAAGCAACGGCUAACUACGUGCCAGCAGCCGCGGUAAUACGUAGGUUGCAAGCGUUGUCCGGAUUUACUGGGUGUAAAGGGCGUGUAGGCGGAGCUGCAAGUCAGAUGUGAAAUCCCGGGGCUUAACCCCGGAACUGCAUUUGAAACUGUAGCCCUUGAGUAUCGGAGAGGCAAGCGGAAUUCCUAGUGUAGCGGUGAAAUGCGUAGAUAUCAGGAGGAACACCGGUGGCGAAGGCGGAUUACUGGACGACAACUGACGCUGAGGCACGAAAGCGUGGGGAGCAAACAGGAUUAGAUACCCUGGUA
Molecule: ribosomal RNA, 437 nt
Filed under: uncultured Pseudoflavonifractor sp.
Lineage: Bacteria; Bacillati; Bacillota; Clostridia; Eubacteriales; Oscillospiraceae
Description: partial 16S ribosomal RNA
Rfam family: Bacterial small subunit ribosomal RNA
Source: RNAcentral